RNAcentral lists this transfer RNA (79 nucleotides) under Conchiformibius kuhniae. Its description in RNAcentral is "tRNA-Arg". It matches the Rfam family "tRNA". Rfam says of the family: Transfer RNA (tRNA) molecules are approximately 80 nucleotides in length. Their secondary structure includes four short double-helical elements and three loops (D, anti-codon, and T loops). Lineage: Bacteria; Pseudomonadati; Pseudomonadota; Betaproteobacteria; Neisseriales; Neisseriaceae. The record is from RNAcentral.
GCGUUCGUAGCUCAACCGGAUAGAGCACCGGUACCUUCUAAGCCGGGGGUUACAGGUUCGAGUCCUGUCGGGCGCGCCA